This 400-nucleotide ribosomal RNA is filed under the name uncultured bacterium. Its description in RNAcentral is "bacterial SSU rRNA". It matches the Rfam family "Bacterial small subunit ribosomal RNA", at positions 29 to 416 of the family's 1533-position model. The record is from RNAcentral.
AUCGAACGCUGGCGGCGUGGCUAAGACAUGCAAGUCGCACGGUACGUGUAGCAAUAUGCGUAUAGUGGCGGAAGGGUGAGUAAUGCAUGGGUAAUGUACCUUGGACACCGGAAUAACAACUCGAAAGGGUUGCUAAUACCGGAUGAAGUCGCAGAGAGGCAUCUCUUGGCGACCAAAGGGCGGGGACCGCAAGGCCCGCUUGUCUGAGAUCAGCCCAUGUCCUAUCAGCUAGUUGGCGGGGUAACGGCCCACCAAGGCAAUGACGGGUAGCCGGACUGAGAGGUUGGACGGCCACAUCGGGACUGAGACACUGCCCGGACACCUACGGGUGGCUGCAGUAACGAAUAUUGGGCAAUGGGCGAAAGCCUGACCCAGCGACGCCGCGUGUGGGAGGAAGUCC